GCCCAGGUGGCGAAAUAGGUAGACGCAGCAGACUCAAAAUCUGCCGGUGGCAACACCAUGCCGGUUCGAUUCCGGCCCUGGGCACCA
RNAcentral lists this transfer RNA (87 nucleotides) under Chitinivorax tropicus. RNAcentral describes it as "tRNA-Leu". It matches the Rfam family "tRNA". Rfam says of the family: Transfer RNA (tRNA) molecules are approximately 80 nucleotides in length. Their secondary structure includes four short double-helical elements and three loops (D, anti-codon, and T loops). Lineage: Bacteria; Pseudomonadati; Pseudomonadota; Betaproteobacteria. The record is from RNAcentral.